GGACGAACGCUGGCGGCGUGCCUAAUACAUGCAAGUUGAGCGAUGAAGAUUGGUGCUUGCACCAAUUUGAAGAGCAGCGAACGGGUGAGUAACGCGUGGGGAAUCUGCCUUUGAGCGGGGGACAACAUUUGGAAACGAAUGCUAAUACCGCAUAACAACUUUAAACAUAAGUUUUAAGUUUGAAAGAUGCAAUUGCAUCACUCAAAGAUGAUCCCGCGUUGUAUUAGCUAGUUGGUGAGGUAAAGGCUCACCAAGGCGAUGAUACAUAGCCGACCUGAGAGGGUGAUCGGCCACAUUGGGACUGAGACACGGCCCAAACUCCUACGGGAGGCAGCAGUAGGGAAUCUUCGGCAAUAGACGAAAGUCUGACCGAGCAACGCCGCGUGAGUGAAGAAGGUUUUCGGAUCGUAAAACUCUGUUGGUAGAGAAGAACGUUGGUGAGAGUGGAAAGCUCAUCAAGUGACGGUAACUACCCAGAAAGGGACGGCUAACUACGUG
RNAcentral lists this ribosomal RNA (498 nucleotides) under uncultured bacterium. RNAcentral describes it as "partial 16S ribosomal RNA". It matches the Rfam family "Bacterial small subunit ribosomal RNA", at positions 27 to 507 of the family's 1533-position model. The record is from RNAcentral.